UCGACGAUGAAUCUUCUAGCUUGCUAGAAGUGGAUUAGUGGCGCACGGGUGAGUAAUGCAUAGGUUAUGUGCCCUUUAGUCUGGGAUAGCCACUGGAAACGGUGAUUAAUACUGGAUACUCCCUACGGGGGAAAGUUUUUCGCUAAAGGAUCAGCCUAUGUCCUAUCAGCUUGUUGGUGAGGUAAUGGCUCACCAAGGCUAUGACGGGUAUCCGGCCUGAGAGGGUGAUCGGACACACUGGAACUGAGACACGGUCCAGACUCCUACGGGAGGCAGCAGUAGGGAAUAUUGCUCAAUGGGGGAAACCCUGAAGCAGCAACGCCGCGUGGAGGAUGAAGGUUUUAGGAUUGUAAACUCCUUUUGUUAGAGAAGAUUAUGACGGUAUCUAACGAAUAAGCACCGGCUAACUCCGUGCCAGCAGCCGCGGUAAUACGGAGGGUGCAAGCGUUACUCGGAAUCACUGGGCGUAAAGAGUGCGUAGGCGGGGUAAUAAGUCAGAUGUGAAAUCCUGUAGCUUAACUACAGAACUGCAUUUGAAACUGUUAUUCUGGAGUGUGGGAGAGGUAGGUGGAAUUCUUGGUGUAGGGGUAAAAUCCGUAGAGAUCAAGAGGAAUACUCAUUGCGAAGGCGACCUGCUGGAACAUUACUGACGCUGAUGCACGAAAGCGUGGGGAGCAAACAGGAUUAGAUACCCUGGUAGUCCACGCCCUAAACGAUGGAUGCUAGUUGUUGCCUUGCUUGUCAGGGCAGUAAUGCAGCUAACGCAUUAAGCAUCCCGCCUGGGGAGUACGGUCGCAAGAUUAAAACUCAAAGGAAUAGACGGGGACCCGCACAAGCGGUGGAGCAUGUGGUUUAA
This 856-nucleotide ribosomal RNA is filed under the name uncultured bacterium. RNAcentral's name for it is "bacterial SSU rRNA". It matches the Rfam family "Bacterial small subunit ribosomal RNA", at positions 62 to 949 of the family's 1533-position model. The record is from RNAcentral.